Molecule: ribosomal RNA, 239 nt
Filed under: uncultured bacterium
Lineage: Bacteria
Description: partial 16S ribosomal RNA
Rfam family: Bacterial small subunit ribosomal RNA
Source: RNAcentral
CCGGCACGGGUGAGUAACACGUAUCCAACCCGCCGUCUACUCUUGGCCAGCCUUCUGAAAGGAAGAUUAAUCCAGGAUGGCAUCAUGAGUUCACAUGUCCGCAUGAUUAAAGGUAUUUUCCGGUAGACGAUGGGGAUGCGUUCCAUUAGAUAGUAGGCGGGGUAACGGCCCACCUAGUCAACGAUGGAUAGGGGUUCUGAGAGGAAGGUCCCCCACAUUGGAACUGAGACACGGUCCAA